CAGUAGCCGCGGUAAUACGUAGGGUGCAAGCGUUAAUCGGAAUUACUGGGCGUAAAGCGUGCGCAGGCGGUUUGUUAAGACAGAUGUGAAAUCCCCGGGCUCAACCUGGGGACUGCAUUUGUGACUGGCAAGCUAGAGUGUGGCAGAGGGGGGUGGAAUUCCGCGUGUAGCAGUGAAAUGCGUAGAUAUGCGGAGGAACACCGAUGGCGAAGGCAGCCCCCUGGGCCAACACUGACGCUCAUGCACGAAAGCGUGGGGAGCAAACAGGAUUAGAUACCCGUGUAGUCCCUGUCUCUUAUAC
This 301-nucleotide ribosomal RNA is filed under the name uncultured bacterium. RNAcentral's name for it is "partial 16S ribosomal RNA". It matches the Rfam family "Bacterial small subunit ribosomal RNA", at positions 509 to 807 of the family's 1533-position model. The record is from RNAcentral.